This 373-nucleotide ribosomal RNA is filed under the name uncultured organism. RNAcentral's name for it is "bacterial SSU rRNA". It matches the Rfam family "Bacterial small subunit ribosomal RNA", at positions 527 to 896 of the family's 1533-position model. The record is from RNAcentral.
CGGGGGAGCAAGCGUUGUUCGGAUUUACUGGGCGUAAAGGGCGCGAAGGCGGCCUCUGCAAGUCGACUGUGAAAUCUCCGGGCUUAACCCGGAACGGUCAGCCGAUACUGCAGGGCUAGAGUGCAGAAGGGGCAACUGGAAUUCUCGGUGUAGCGGUGAAAUGCGUAGAUAUCGAGAGGAACACCUGCGGCGAAGGCGGGUUGCUGGGCUGACACUGACGCUGAGGCGCGAAAGCUAGGGGAGCGAACGGGAUUAGAUACCCCGGUAGUCCUAGCCUUAAACGAUGAAUGCUUGGUGUCUGGGGUUUUAUAGUCCCCGGGUGCCGUCGCUAACGCUUUAAGCAUUCCGCCUGGGGAGUACGGUCGCAAGACUG